This 253-nucleotide ribosomal RNA is filed under the name uncultured bacterium. RNAcentral's name for it is "partial 16S ribosomal RNA". It matches the Rfam family "Bacterial small subunit ribosomal RNA", at positions 524 to 776 of the family's 1533-position model. The record is from RNAcentral.
UACGUAGGGUGCGAGCGUUAAUCGGAAUUACUGGGCGUAAAGCGUGCGCAGGCGGUUCGUUAAGUCAGAUGUGAAAGCCCCGGGCUCAACCUGGGAACUGCAUUUGAAACUGGCGGGCUUGAGUGUGGCAGAGGGGGGUGGAAUUCCGCGUGUAGCAGUGAAAUGCGUAGAUAUCCGGAGGAACACCGGUGGCGAAGGCGGCUUCCUGGACCGACACUGACGCUGAGGCGCGAAAGCUAGGGGAGCAAACGGG